RNAcentral lists this ribosomal RNA (470 nucleotides) under uncultured bacterium. RNAcentral describes it as "bacterial SSU rRNA". It matches the Rfam family "Bacterial small subunit ribosomal RNA", at positions 328 to 795 of the family's 1533-position model. The record is from RNAcentral.
CGGCCAGACUCCUACGGGAGGCAGCAGUGAGGAAUAUUGGUCAAUGGGCUUACGCCUGAACCAGCCAAGUCGCGUGAGGGAAGACUGCCCUAUGGGUUGUAAACCUCUUUUGUCAGGGAGCAACGCCGGCUACGUGUAGCCGGACUGAGAGUACCUGAAGAAAAAGCAUCGGCUAACUCCGUGCCAGCAGCCGCGGUAAUACGGAGGAUGCGAGCGUUAUCCGGAUUUAUUGGGUUUAAAGGGUGCGUAGGCGGACGCUUAAGUCAGCGGUAAAAUUGCGGUGCUCAACGCCGUCGAGCCGUUGAAACUGGCGUUCUUGAGUGGGCGAGAAGUAUGCGGAAUGCGUGGUGUAGCGGUGAAAUGCAUAGAUAUCACGCAGAACUCCGAUUGCGAAGGCAGCAUACCGGCGCCCUACUGACGCUGAGGCACGAAAGCGUGGGGAUCGAACAGGAUUAGAUACCCGUGUAGCC